This 460-nucleotide ribosomal RNA is filed under the name uncultured bacterium. RNAcentral describes it as "partial 16S ribosomal RNA". It matches the Rfam family "Bacterial small subunit ribosomal RNA", at positions 338 to 795 of the family's 1533-position model. The record is from RNAcentral.
CCUACGGGGAGCUGCAGUGAGGAAUAUUGGUCAAUGGACGAGAGUCUGAACCAGCCAAGUAGCGUGAAGGAUGACUGCCCUAUGGGUUGUAAACUUCUUUUAUAUGGGAAUAAAAUGUUCCACGUGUGGGAUUUUGUAUGUACCAUAUGAAUAAGGAUCGGCUAACUCCGUGCCAGCAGCCGCGGUAAUACGGAGGAUCCGAGCGUUAUCCGGAUUUAUUGGGUUUAAAGGGAGCGUAGGUGGAUUGUUAAGUCAGUUGUGAAAGUUUGCGGCUCAACCGUAAAAUUGCAGUUGAAACUGGCAGUCUUGAGUACAGUAGAGGUGGGCGGAAUUCGUGGUGUAGCGGUGAAAUGCUUAGAGAUCACGAAGAACUCCGAUUGCGAAGGCAGUUCACUGGACUGCAACUGACACUGAGGCUCGAAAGUGUGGGUAUCAAACAGGAUUAGAUACCCGAGUAGUC